GUAGGGAAUAUUGGACAAUGGGUGCGAGCCUGAUCCAGCCAUGCCGCGUGCAGGAAGACGGCCUUCUGGGUUGUAAACUGCUUUUGCCAGGGGAUAAAACGUCCAUGCGUGGAUAAUUGAAGGUACCUGGUGAAUAAGCCACGGCUAACUACGUGCCAGCAGCCGCGGUAAUACGUAGGUGGCAAGCGUUGUCCGGAUUUAUUGGGUUUAAAGGGUGCGUAGGCGGUUUUAUAAGUCAGUGGUGAAAUACAACAGCUUAACUGUUGAGGUGCCAUUGAUACUGUAAGACUUGAGUACAGACGAGGUAGGCGGAAUUGACGGUGUAGCGGUGAAAUGCUUAGAUAUCGUCAAGAACACCGAUAGCGAAGGCAGCUUACUAGACUGUAACUGACGCUGAGGCACGAAAGUGUGGGGAUCAAACAGGAUUAGAAACCCGAGUAGUCC
RNAcentral lists this ribosomal RNA (444 nucleotides) under uncultured bacterium. RNAcentral's name for it is "bacterial SSU rRNA". It matches the Rfam family "Bacterial small subunit ribosomal RNA", at positions 354 to 796 of the family's 1533-position model. The record is from RNAcentral.